UACUAUGACCAUGCUACCCUGAACAAGCCCGAUCUUGUCUGAUCUCGGAAGCUAAGCAGGGUCAGGCCUGGUUAGUACUGGGAUGGGAGACCACCUAGGAAGACCAGGUACUGUAGAUG
Molecule: ribosomal RNA, 119 nt
Filed under: Pteropus alecto (black flying fox)
Lineage: Eukaryota; Metazoa; Chordata; Mammalia; Chiroptera; Pteropodidae
Source: RNAcentral